Molecule: ribosomal RNA, 254 nt
Filed under: uncultured bacterium
Lineage: Bacteria
Description: partial 16S ribosomal RNA
Rfam family: Bacterial small subunit ribosomal RNA
Source: RNAcentral
UACAUAGGGUGCGAGCGUUGUCCGGAAUUAUUGGGCGUAAAGAGCUCGUAGGCGGUGUGUCACGUCGAUCGUGAAAACUUGGGGCUUAACUCUGAGCUUGCGGUCGAUACGGGCAUCACUGGAGUUCGGCAGGGGAGACUGGAAUUCCUGGUGUAGCGGUGAAAUGCGCAGAUAUCAGGAGGAACACCGGUGGCGAAGGCGGGUCUCUGGGCCGAUACUGACGCUGAGGAGCGAAAGCAUGGGGAGCGAACAGG